Molecule: ribosomal RNA, 432 nt
Filed under: uncultured bacterium
Lineage: Bacteria
Description: partial 16S ribosomal RNA
Rfam family: Bacterial small subunit ribosomal RNA
Source: RNAcentral
AACGAACGCUGGCGGCAGGCCUAACACAUGCAAGUCGAGCGCCCUUUCGGGGGAGCGGCGGACGGGUGAGUACCGCGUGGGAAUAUGCCCUUCUCUACGGAAUAGCCUCGGGAAACUGAGAGUAAUACCGUAUACGCCCUGUGGGGGAAAGAUUUAUCGGGGAAGGAUUAGCCCGCGUUGGAUUAGGUAGUUGGUGGGGUAAUGGCCUACCAAGCCGACGAUCCAUAGCUGGUUUGAGAGGAUGAUCAGCCACACUGGGACUGAGACACGGCCCAGACUCCUACGGGAGGCAGCAGUGGGGAAUCUUAGACAAUGGGGGCAACCCUGAUCUAGCCAUGGCGCGUGAGUGAUGAAGGCCUUAGGGUUGUAAAGCUCUUUCAGCUGGGAAGAUAAUGACGGUACCAGCAGAAGAAGCCCCGGCUAACUCCGUGC